This is a non-coding RNA of Equus caballus (horse), 1732 nucleotides long. The record is from RefSeq and is a predicted model, not a curated record. Lineage: Eukaryota; Metazoa; Chordata; Mammalia; Perissodactyla; Equidae.
GUGUUGGCCACUGCACAGAGGGUCCACCAUGGAGACUGGGAGAGGUGGCAGCAGCAGGUGAGGGUGCCUGGGGGAGGUACCCAGGAUUCAGAGGACAGGGCAUGCCCCCUCCCAGCUGGAGGACUUCCCCAGGAGAGGGGCCUUCCUCCUCCAGAGCAUCUGCUGUGGCCGCUGAACCUGAAGUGCCUGCAUUGGCAGUGAGCAGGAGGGGGCCUGGAAGGGCUGGGAGCUGGAUGGUUUUGGGUUGGGGAGGGGCAGGGCCCACAUCCCCUGGGAUUGGCUCACAGCCAGCCCUGGGACGUGACUGGGGGAGUUUGAUGUUCCUGGAGAGGAGGGGAGAAGGGAAUUGUGUGUGGUGGGGGCUCCUGUGGGUCCUAGGCUGCUGUAAGUGGGAGCCUGGUGUGGGCAGGGGGCUGGGUUGAGAGGUUUCAGGGGAGGGCUCAUGGGGGCACCUGAGUGCUGGAACUCAUCACCAUGCCCACCUUGAUGGUGCAGGGUGUCAUCCCCUCCCUCGAGAUGAUCUUCAGUUACCUGGAGCUGCUGAAUGAUGAGACAGAUUAUUAUGUGGAGGUGAGUGAGACUGGAGGUGGGGCCCUGGGAUCAGGCUCCUGAGGGUUUGGGAGGAGAGAGUCCUGCCUGAGCCCUGAGCUCUCACACUUGGAAAGGUCCUCUCUGCAGAGCCUCCCAGCCUCCUGUGGAAGCCAGGGCAUCAGGCCCAUCACAGCAACGAGUGAGGGGAGGCUCUGCCUAGGCCGCCAUCCAGUCUCCCUGGGCUGCUGAGGCUCAGAGCUGCCUGGCUGUGUGGCCACAGGAGGUGGUGUCUGAGCUGGACUCAGCCUCUCCCUCUGGCCCUGCCCAUGAGGGAAGAGAAGUCGGGGCCCUACCACUCAGGAAGCACAUCAGUGGCUGAGCUGUCCCCUCCUGCCUGAGGCCUCAGUCUCCCCAUGUGUCAUCGGAGAGGGUUAGAUUACAAGGUCUCAGCUCCUCUGCCCCCAGGUCUGGAGCCCAGAGCCUGGCCCAGGUCCAAGUCCGGUCUCUGGCAGGGCCUGCCCACUGGCAGCAGUGCAACACUGGAAGAGGUGGGAUGGGGGCUAGUUCUGGGCUAAGGGGGCUGUUUCUGAUGGACUUUGGCUGCCUGCCUUCCAGGGCAAUGUGCUCAGCUGUCGGAAUGAGGAAUUCAAACUCAUCAAGGACAUCAAGCUGAUCCAGAAGGCUGCAAAUCUGUACACCGUGCAGCCCGAUGAGCACUUUGGGGCCUGGUUCCAGGCCAUGGAGCCCCUGAGUGAGGAGGCGAGCUACAGCCUGUCCUGUCAGCUGGAGCCCCAGUACCAGUGGACCAGAAAUAUUCGACUCUACUUCAAAGACAAGAAGAGCCACUUCUCUUCCCGCCGAGAGCUGAACACCAGGCCCCCAAAAAAGAGCCCAGUGGUGGUGGCAGGUGACGCUCCUGACACCAGCUGAACUACAGCAGGGACACAGCGGGGACACUCAGGUGCACGGGGCCACCUCUCAGAUGCUGAUAUGAAUGAAAACUUUGUGAUCCAUUUCCUGGGGUCCCCUGAAGGCCUCAAGGGAUUGGACGACCACCCCAUCUCCCUCACACAUUUUCCCCAGCGCCUAUUUCCCUCUUUGGAGUGGCCAUACUUUUGUUGUCAAUAAUAAAUGCUAAGUUUGGGUAUUCUAUUAAAUUUCUGUUUCUUUCUCAGCCUGGGAGUGGACGUGUGGUUCUUUU